AGUGAACGCUGGCGGUAGGCCUAACACAUGCAAGUCGAACGGCAGCACAGUAAGAGCUUGCUCUUACGGGUGGCGAGUGGCGGACGGGUGAGGAAUACAUCGGAAUCUACUUUUUCGUGGGGGAUAACGUAGGGAAACUUACGCUAAUACCGCAUACGACCUACGGGUGAAAGCAGGGGAUCUUCGGACCUUGCGCGAUUGAAUGAGCCGAUGUCGGAUUAGCUAGUUGGCGGGGUAAAGGCCCACCAAGGCGACGAUCCGUAGCUGGUCUGAGAGGAUGAUCAGCCACACUGGAACUGAGACACGGUCCAGACUCCUACGGGAGGCAGCAGUGGGGAAUAUUGGACAAUGGGCGCAAGCCUGAUCCAGCCAUACCGCGUGGGUGAAGGAGGCCUUCGGGUUGUAAAGCCCUUUUGUUGGGAAAGAAAAGCAGCAGGUUAAUACCCCGCUGUCCUGACGGUACCCAAAGAAUAAGCACCGGCUAACUUCGUG
This 492-nucleotide ribosomal RNA is filed under the name uncultured bacterium. RNAcentral's name for it is "partial 16S ribosomal RNA". It matches the Rfam family "Bacterial small subunit ribosomal RNA", at positions 29 to 507 of the family's 1533-position model. The record is from RNAcentral.